GUCCAGCUGAUGAGUCCCAACAAGAACGAAACGCGUCCUAGAC
This 43-nucleotide non-coding RNA is filed under the name Diaphorina citri (Asian citrus psyllid). Lineage: Eukaryota; Metazoa; Arthropoda; Insecta; Hemiptera; Psyllidae. The record is from RNAcentral.